CGGAGUGGACGCAUCACUGGUGUUCGGGUUGUCAUGCCAAUGGCACUGCCCGGUAGCUAAAUGCGGAAGAGAUAAGUGCUGAAAGCAUCUAAGCACGAAACUUGCCCCGAGAUGAGUUCUCCCUGACCCUUUAAGGGUCCUGAAGGAACGUUGAAGACGACGACGUUGAUAGGCCGGGUGUGUAAGCGCAGCGAUGCGUUGAGCUAACCGGUACUAAUGAACCGUGAGGCUUAACCUU
RNAcentral lists this ribosomal RNA (238 nucleotides) under Citrobacter koseri. Its description in RNAcentral is "partial 23S ribosomal RNA". It matches the Rfam family "Bacterial large subunit ribosomal RNA", at positions 2693 to 2925 of the family's 2925-position model. RNAcentral also lists the same sequence under 6 other names. Lineage: Bacteria; Pseudomonadati; Pseudomonadota; Gammaproteobacteria; Enterobacterales; Enterobacteriaceae. The record is from RNAcentral.